AUUGAACGCUGGCGGCAUGCCUUACACAUGCAAGUCGAACGGUAACAGGUUAAGCUGACGAGUGGCGAACGGGUGAGUAAUGUAUCGGGACGUGCCCAGUCGUGGGGGAUAACUGCUCGAAAGAGCAGCUAAUACCGCAUACGACCUGAGGGUGAAAGCGGGGGAUCGCAAGACCUCGCGCGAUUGGAGCGGCCGAUAUCAGAUUAGGUAGUUGGUGGGGUAAAGGCCCACCAAGCCAACGAUCUGUAGCUGGUCUGAGAGGACGACCAGCCACACUGGGACUGAGACACGGCGCAGACUCCUACGGGAGGCAGCAGUGGGGAAUUUUGGACAAUGGGCGCAAGCCUGAUCCAGCCAUGCCGCGUGCGGGAAGAAGGCCUUCGGGUUGUAAACCGCUUUUGUCAGGGAAGAAAAGGUUCUGGUUAAUACCUGGGACUCAUGACGGUACCUGAAGAAUAAGCACCGGCUAACUACGUGCCAGCCGCCGCCGUAA
This 493-nucleotide ribosomal RNA is filed under the name uncultured bacterium. RNAcentral's name for it is "partial 16S ribosomal RNA". It matches the Rfam family "Bacterial small subunit ribosomal RNA", at positions 30 to 523 of the family's 1533-position model. The record is from RNAcentral.